This 255-nucleotide ribosomal RNA is filed under the name uncultured bacterium. Its description in RNAcentral is "partial 16S ribosomal RNA". It matches the Rfam family "Bacterial small subunit ribosomal RNA", at positions 524 to 777 of the family's 1533-position model. The record is from RNAcentral.
UACGGAGGGGGCUAGCGUUGUUCGGAAUUACUGGGCGUAAAGCGCACGUAGGCGGACUGUUAAGUCGGGGGUGAAAUCCUGGGGCUCGAACCUCAGAAUUGCCUCCGAUACUGGCAGUCUCGAGUGCGGGAGAGGUGAGUGGAAUUCCCAGUGUAGAGGUGAAAUUCGUAGAUAUUGGGAAGAACACCAGUGGCGAAGGCGGCUCACUGGCCCGUAACUGACGCUGAGGUGCGAAAGCGUGGGGAGCAAACAGGG